Non-coding RNA from Myodes glareolus (Bank vole), 406 nucleotides. NCBI's taxonomy places the organism in Eukaryota, Metazoa, Chordata, Mammalia, Rodentia, Cricetidae. The record is from RefSeq and is a predicted model, not a curated record.
UCAUCAGUGCUUCCAUCUCCAACCAAUCUGAGGGAAGACAGAAGCGCACUCCUCCAAUGGGAGUUGAGGAGCCCGCGGUAGUGAUAGAGCCCCGAUACCCUGCCAUCGCUCCGCUGAGCGUCGCGUGAAGCAUCCGUGAUCUGCGAGAUCUUGCUGUGGGCCAGGUAUCCAUUCUCCUGCGGCAGCUGUAGAACCUACGGAGGCUAGAGGUACUGGAGCCCGCCGCCUGCUUUCCUUAGCGUGAAUAAUAGUGGUUUCAUGGAAGGGAAGACAAAUGAUAGAAAGCUCCACUCUGCCAUCUUGAUGACAUCUGAAUUUUCUAGAUUUUGUUCAGAUUUAUUUUGUUUUGGUUUUUGUUUACUGCUAUUAUAUGUUUUGUGGAAGCCAGAAGAAGGCGUUGGAUCCC